UCCCCUCACGUUCAUCCCCUAUUUUUCUCAUUGGUCAAGAUUUGCUGCAAUGCAGAUGUUUCCCUUCUUGGUCCCUGUUAGUCCCAUGUUCCCUCCUUCCUUCCCUGAUUGGUUAUGACCUCUGUCAGUCCCAUGCUCCUCCCCUCUUUCUAGAUCCUUCCCUGCCCAGCCUAUAAAUAGAGUGAACUACCCUUAAUUAAUGGUGAUAGCUGCUUGAAGCUACCACUGUCCUCGAACCCCCUCAGCUGUCUCAUGAUCUUUUCCUGAUCGACCGCGGCACCCCAGUUCCUCGAACAUCCCUGUGCCGGGCACGUAACUCGCUGGGCAGCCCCUGCCCAAAGCAGCCGGGGAGCAGGGACAGCAACUUUAUUGAAGGAGGCCAUUAGAUUUUAUUUCUGACCUCAUUUUAUAUCCUAUGCAGGAUGGGUCUUCAUCAGUCAGAAUGGCAGCUUAGCCUUCCCUGGAUCUUCCUACUGUGACAGGACUGCUGAAAGGUCAACACGAGAGAUUGUGGUGAAAGGAAAGCAUGUGAAGUAGCUUUUCCCUUCUUCAGGCUACUUCAUAUAAAGACAUAGACUUCUGGUUGCAGCUUCACAUAUGGAGUGGAUUAGAAGUGCUGGUAAACUACACCGUCAGGAUGGAGGUUGUGUGUUAGAUACCCAAGAAAGCAAAAGGAAACACCGAAGGUCUGAAAGAGAAUCAAGUGAAUAUUCUGACAGCAAAUCAACUUCAUAAAUGGAGAGGCAAAGAAACUCUAGGCAAUGAGGAAGACAUCCUAUAGGACAAGAUGUCCAAGAAGGUUAAAACUAAGAGUGUGAAGAGACAUGUUUGGCUUUUAACAGAUCAACAGGAAGGAAGUCUCAUAGAAAAAGGCCAUCCCCAUGUGCCAAAAUGUAAGCUUCUUUCAGU
Molecule: long non-coding RNA, 909 nt
Organism: Neopelma chrysocephalum (saffron-crested tyrant-manakin)
Lineage: Eukaryota; Metazoa; Chordata; Aves; Passeriformes; Pipridae
Exons: 5
Source: RefSeq, a predicted model, not a curated record